CGGACGGGUGAGUAAUGUCUGGGAAACUGCCUGAUGGAGGGGGAUAACUACUGGAAACGGUAGCUAAUACCGCAUAACGUCGCAAGACCAAAGAGGGGGACCUUCGGGCCUCUUGCCAUCGGAUGUGCCCAGAUGGGAUUAGCUAGUAGGUGGGGUAAGGCUCACCUAGGCGACGAUCCCUAGCUGGUCCGAGAGGAUGACCAGCCACACUGGAACUGAGACACGGUCCAG
RNAcentral lists this ribosomal RNA (231 nucleotides) under uncultured bacterium. Its description in RNAcentral is "partial 16S ribosomal RNA". It matches the Rfam family "Bacterial small subunit ribosomal RNA", at positions 99 to 334 of the family's 1533-position model. The record is from RNAcentral.